Telopea speciosissima is the source of this 358-nucleotide long non-coding RNA. RefSeq lists it as uncharacterized. NCBI's taxonomy places the organism in Eukaryota, Viridiplantae, Streptophyta, Magnoliopsida, Proteales, Proteaceae. The record is from RefSeq and is a predicted model, not a curated record. The transcript is spliced from 2 exons.
AAACGCCAACCGAGAGGGGAGAACGAAUGGCUCAGGAAUCGACCGGUUCCGAGCAGACUCGUGGUAAUGAAAUUGGAUUAUCGUAGAAUAAGAGGAGCCGUUUUAGGAAAUGACUUAACUUAAAAGACAGAUGCCGCCCCAGCUCGACUCGAGACCAAGACUCCUUACAACUCGUACCAAUAGCGGCACUGAGCGGCCGGAGAUUGAUUGAAAAGGCAGCCCAGCCAGCCCGCCCCCUUUAGUGAUAGUGAUAAAGAGCACACACACACCUCCCCUGACCCACUAAUCAUCAUCUCAUCUGGCGCGAAGCAAAAAGAAGGUUGAGAAGUUGUUCCAACCAAAGAUAUUCCAUAUGUAA